This 451-nucleotide ribosomal RNA is filed under the name uncultured bacterium. RNAcentral describes it as "bacterial SSU rRNA". It matches the Rfam family "Bacterial small subunit ribosomal RNA", at positions 354 to 796 of the family's 1533-position model. The record is from RNAcentral.
GUAGGGAAUAUUGCGCAAUGGACGCAAGUCUGACGCAGCAACGCCGCGUGAGUGAAGAAGGCCUUCGGGUUGUAAAGCUCUGUCAUACGGGACGAACAACCGGCAGGUGAAUAGCCUGUCGGUCUGACGGUACCGUAGGAGGAAGCACCGGCUAACUCUGUGCCAGCAGCCGCGGUAAUACAGAGGGUGCAAGCGUUGCUCGGAAUUAUUGGGCGUAAAGGGUAGGUAGGUUGUCUCAUUUGUCCGAUGUGAAAUCCUUGGGCUUAACCCAAGAAGUGCAUUGGAAACGGUGGGACUGGAGUCUCGGAGAGGGUCGUGGAAUUCCCGGUGUAGCGGUGAAAUGCGUAGAGAUCGGGAGGAACACCAGUGGCGAAGGCGGCGACCUGGACGAGCACUGACACUCAACUACGAAAGCGUGGGGAGCAAACAGGAUUAGAAACCCUUGUAGUCC